CCUGUCUUUAUGCGCCUUCCAUAUUCCAUCAUAGACAGCAAGUCUGGGCAGAUAUCAGACAGAUUCGAACUUCAAGUUCCUUUCCAUGGGUGUGUAUUGGCGAUUAUAAUGAUAUCCUUUAUCACUGGGAAAAGCAGGGCAAACGAAUUAUUGAGGCAUAUAGAUUAAAUUCCUUUCGAGAGUUUGUGAAUGAUUGUCAGUUUAUGGACAUUGAAAGUAAAGGCUGCUUUUAUACAUGGGUAAACAAAAGAGAUGGUGCUGAAGCCAUUAAAGAAAGGCUAGAUAGGGCCUUAUGCACCAUUGAGUGGAGGUUAUCUUACCCGGGGGCAGAAGUCUUCGCUUUUCCUCCUUUAGCCUCUGAUCAUAGUCCUCUGCUCUUACUCACUGAACCGCACUCUUUUAAAAGGAAGAAAACUUUCUGUUUUGAAGCUUUCUGGCUGCAAGAGAAAGAUUGUCAAUCAAUCAUCAACAAUGUAUGGACUUCAUCAGCAAUGCGACCUCAAUCAUUAACUAACAAGCUACAACGUACUUCAUUUGCUCUUGCCAAGUGGAGUAAAUCCCUUCAGAAUCACAGUAACAACCAGCAGCAAGUCUACCUG
This 599-nucleotide long non-coding RNA is filed under the name Eucalyptus grandis. RNAcentral's name for it is "long non-coding RNA (EGRA_LNC004332)". Lineage: Eukaryota; Viridiplantae; Streptophyta; Magnoliopsida; Myrtales; Myrtaceae. The record is from RNAcentral.